CCUACGGGUGGCUGCAGUGAGGAAUAUUGGUCAAUGGGCUUACGCCUGAACCAGCCAAGUCGCGUGAGGGAAGAAUGCCCUAUGGGUUGUAAACCUCUUUUGUCAGGGAGCAAAUGUCGCUACGUGUAUCGUUAUCGAGAGUACCUAAAGAAAAAGCAUCGGCUAACUCCGUGCCAGCAGCCGCGGUAAUACGGAGGUUCGGAGCGUUAUCCGGAUUUAUUGGGUUUAAGGGGAGCGUAGGCGGGUUGUUAAGUCAGUGGUGAAAGUCUGCGGCUCAACCGUACAAUUGCAGUUGAUACUGGCAUCCUCGAGUACGGUAGAGGUAGGCGGAAUUCGUGGUGUAGCGGUGAAAUGCUUAGAUAUCACGAAGAACUCCGAUUGCGAAGGCAGCCUGCUGGACUGUAACUGACGCUGAUGCUCGAAAGUGUGGGUAUCAAACAGGAUUAGAUACCCGUGUAGUC
This 461-nucleotide ribosomal RNA is filed under the name uncultured bacterium. Its description in RNAcentral is "partial 16S ribosomal RNA". It matches the Rfam family "Bacterial small subunit ribosomal RNA", at positions 338 to 795 of the family's 1533-position model. The record is from RNAcentral.